This 417-nucleotide ribosomal RNA is filed under the name Brucella sp. 09RB8918. RNAcentral's name for it is "bacterial SSU rRNA". It matches the Rfam family "Bacterial small subunit ribosomal RNA", at positions 305 to 714 of the family's 1533-position model. Lineage: Bacteria; Pseudomonadati; Pseudomonadota; Alphaproteobacteria; Hyphomicrobiales; Brucellaceae. The record is from RNAcentral.
CAGCCACAUUGGGACUGAGACACGGCCCAAACUCCUACGGGAGGCAGCAGUGGGGAAUAUUGGACAAUGGAGGAAACUCUGAUCCAGCAAUACCAUGUGUGUGAAGAAGGCCUUAGGGUUGUAAAGCACUUUAGUUAGGGAGGAAGGUCUGUUAGUUAAUAGCUAAUGGAAUUGACGUUACCUAAAGAAUAAGCACCGGCUAACUCCGUGCCAGCAGCCGCGGUAAUACGGGGGGUGCAAGCGUUAAUCGGAAUUACUGGGCGUAAAGGGUCUGUAGGUGGUUUGAUAAGUCAGAUGUGAAAGCCCAGGGCUCAACCUUGGAACUGCAUUUGAUACUGUCAAGCUAGAGUAUAGUAGAGGAAUGGGGAAUUUCUGGUGUAGCGGUGAAAUGCGUAGAGAUCAGAAGGAACACCGAUG